RNAcentral lists this ribosomal RNA (484 nucleotides) under uncultured bacterium. RNAcentral describes it as "partial 16S ribosomal RNA". It matches the Rfam family "Bacterial small subunit ribosomal RNA", at positions 30 to 507 of the family's 1533-position model. The record is from RNAcentral.
AUUGAACGCUGGCGGCAGGCCUAACACAUGCAAGUCGAGCGGAUGAAGGGAGCUUGCUCCUGGAUUCAGCGGCGGACGGGGGAGUAAUGCCUAGGAAUCUGCCUGGUAGUGGGGGAUAACGUCCGGAAACGGGCGCUAAUACCGCAUACGUCCUGCGGGAGAAAGUGGGGGAUCUUCGGACCUCACGCUAUCAGAUGAGCCUAGGUCGGAUUAGCUAGUUGGUGGGGUAAAGGCCUACCAAGGCGACGAUCCGUAACUGGUCUGAGAGGAGGAUCAGUCACACUGGAACUGAGACACGGUCCAGACUCCUACGGGAGGCAGCAGUGGGGAAUAUUGGACAAUGGGCGAAAGCCUGAUCCAGCCAUGCCGCGUGUGUGAAGAAGGUCUUCGGAUUGUAAAGCACUUUAAGUUGGGAGGAAGGGCAGUAAGUUAAUACCUUGCUGUUUUGACGUUACCAACAGAAUAAGCACCGGCUAACUUCGUG